AUAUGAAUUAAUGAAAAUUAAGAAAUUUAGUAGCAGGCUUUCUCUUUGAGAUAUUUCUUUUAGUGCAACUUCGAACUGUGUCUUCUAGGGGCUGCUGUGGGGAACACCUCGCCGUGACCCGUGUCUGAAGCAUACAUUGAAAAAACACCACCGAGUUGGCCGGCGACAGCCCCUGGCGUCACUACUUGCGCGACUACGGACAAAUAGGCGCCAGGAGAACACGUCUUCCUCUUCUUCGUCUCUAUUGACUGUUUUGUUUGAAGCGUGCAUCUGAACGACCACGAUUACAUAAUGGUAGACAAAUGGACAACAGAUGAUGUCUGCAAUUGGCUCCAAACCAUCAACCUGAUUGAUUCCAAAGAAGUCUUCAGAGAGCAAGAGAUUGAUGGAGAAACCCUGUUGGGCUUAACAGAAAGGAUGGUGCAGAAACUAUUCCCCACAAUGAAACAGCAAGUGAUCUUUUUAAAGGAACUUGAAAGACUGAAGAGAUCGUCUUCAAUGGAACAAGAAACUGGUGUGGAAACCUCUUCGGAGAUUCAAAUGCAUCACACUCAGCAAAAGUGCUGUGAGCCGUGGCCUGCAGUUUUUAGCCUCCCUGAUUUUCCACCAGAACUUAACGAAUCAUUACAGAGGAAGGAUCCAUCUUUCAAGAAAAAGGAAAAAUCACAUCUGCGAUCACUGCUAAUUCAAGUGUUGUUUGAUAGCAUCACAAAGUACACAUGGUAUCCAAGCCACAAGAUAUACACGGAUGUUCUUGGAAGUCUGAUCAAAAGAUUUCCUUUCCUGAAGGAUACUAGCCCCUCUGGUCAUGGACUGAUGAACACACUCGGCUCCUUAUCCAGUGGAGAGUAG
Long non-coding RNA from Cyprinus carpio (common carp), 852 nucleotides. NCBI's taxonomy places the organism in Eukaryota, Metazoa, Chordata, Actinopteri, Cypriniformes, Cyprinidae. The record is from Ensembl.